This 23-nucleotide microRNA is filed under the name Canis lupus familiaris (dog). RNAcentral describes it as "Cfa-Mir-551-P1_5p* (star (passenger))". Lineage: Eukaryota; Metazoa; Chordata; Mammalia; Carnivora; Canidae. The record is from RNAcentral.
GAAAUCCAGAGUGGGUAAGGCCU